UACGGAGGGUGCAAGCGUUAUCCGGAUUCACUGGGUUUAAAGGGUGCGUAGGUGGCUUUGUAAGUCAGUGGUGAAAGCCUGGAGCUUAACUCCAGAACUGCCAUUGAUACUGCUUAGCUUGAAUCGAGUAGAGGUGGAUGGAAUAUCACAUGUAGCGGUGAAAUGCUUAGAUAUGUGAUAGAACACCGAUUGCGAAGGCAGUUCACUAUGCUCGUAUUGACACUGAGGCACGAAAGCGUGGGGAUCAAACAGG
RNAcentral lists this ribosomal RNA (253 nucleotides) under uncultured bacterium. RNAcentral's name for it is "partial 16S ribosomal RNA". It matches the Rfam family "Bacterial small subunit ribosomal RNA", at positions 524 to 776 of the family's 1533-position model. The record is from RNAcentral.